GUCCUUUAUAGCAAAACUCUUCAAGAGGCGUCUGCACUUGCUGUCUCCACUCUCACUUCUCUCCCAUUCUCUUUUUCAUUCAAGUAUGUAUUCCCAAUACUCAAACUAAACCACUUUUGUUAAUAAUCUAUAAUAAUAAUAUUGUAGUGCCUACUAUGUAGCUGACAGCGUUCUAAGCCUUUUACCUUUAUUAAAUCCUCACAACAAUCUUAGGAAGUAGGUGCUGUUAUCAUGUCUUUUACUGAUGACACUGAAGCAUAGGUUAAGUAACUCAUCCAAGGUCAUUACAGCUAGCAAGUGGUAGAGCCAUGAUUUGAAUCUAGACAGUCUCCCAGA
RNAcentral lists this long non-coding RNA (336 nucleotides) under Homo sapiens (human). RNAcentral's name for it is "HSALNT0018274". Lineage: Eukaryota; Metazoa; Chordata; Mammalia; Primates; Hominidae. The record is from RNAcentral.